UACGUAGGGUGCGAGCGUUAAUCGGAAUUACUGGGCGUAAAGCGUGCGCAGGCGGCGCGUUAAGACAGGUGUGAAAGCCCCGAGCUUAACUUGGGAAUUGCGCUUGUGACUGGCGUGCUGGAGUGUGGCAGAGGGAGGUGGAAUUCCACGUGUAGCAGUGAAAUGCGUAGAGAUGUGGAGGAACACCGGUGGCGAAGGCGGCUUCCUGGACCGACACUGACGCUGAGGCGCGAAAGCUAGGGGAGCAAACGGG
RNAcentral lists this ribosomal RNA (253 nucleotides) under uncultured bacterium. Its description in RNAcentral is "partial 16S ribosomal RNA". It matches the Rfam family "Bacterial small subunit ribosomal RNA", at positions 524 to 776 of the family's 1533-position model. The record is from RNAcentral.